RNAcentral lists this transfer RNA (73 nucleotides) under Catenuloplanes nepalensis. RNAcentral's name for it is "tRNA-Ala". It matches the Rfam family "tRNA". Rfam says of the family: Transfer RNA (tRNA) molecules are approximately 80 nucleotides in length. Their secondary structure includes four short double-helical elements and three loops (D, anti-codon, and T loops). Further hydrogen bonds mediate the characteristic L-shaped molecular structure. tRNAs have two regions of fundamental functional importance: the anti-codon, which is responsible for specific mRNA codon recognition, and the 3' end, to which the tRNAs corresponding amino acid is attached (by aminoacyl-tRNA synthetases). tRNAs cope with the degeneracy of the genetic code in two manners: having more than one tRNA (with a specific anti-codon) for a particular amino acid; and 'wobble' base-pairing, i.e. permitting non-standard base-pairing at the 3rd anti-codon position. The record is from RNAcentral. Lineage: Bacteria; Bacillati; Actinomycetota; Actinomycetes; Micromonosporales; Micromonosporaceae.
GGGGUCGUAGCUCAUCGGGAAGAGCACUGUCCUCGCACGGCAGAGGUGGCGGGUUCGAGCCCCGCCGGCUCCA